This 8176-nucleotide long non-coding RNA is filed under the name Medicago truncatula (barrel medic). Its description in RNAcentral is "long non-coding RNA (MTRU_LNC008695)". Lineage: Eukaryota; Viridiplantae; Streptophyta; Magnoliopsida; Fabales; Fabaceae. The record is from RNAcentral.
CAAUUCAAGGAAUUUAUAUUAUAUCUCUGUACGUGAAAGAAGUAAAAACAAUAAUAGAUAUAUCAAUGACAUUCAAAUUUGAAAUGAAAGUGUAGAUUGUACAAAUACCUUGUAAACCGGACCAAACCCUCCUUCUCCAAUCUUAUAGGCAAUAUCAAAGUUGUUAGUCGCUGCUUUGAUUUGCCGUAACGUAAAUAGCCCAGGUUGGAAAUCUAAACCCUUUAGCUCUGUUGAUUGAAGUAAAAAAGAAUAUAUAAAUAAAAUCAGAGAUAUUUUUUUGAGUAACUUCCACAUCAAUACUUUUAGCAAGUACAAAUCUAGACACAAUGGCAGCCUUGAGCUCUAUAUUUUUAUAAAAUCAAAUUCAGCUUAUUAUGCUUAUAAAAGAAUUUCCGAAAGUUAAUUUUCAGGGUCUUACCUCUUUCUAACGGACCCAUAUGUUGUCGACAUCUUCUCCACCAAUAUAUACCAAAUACUAGUAAGAUAACUAGUCCUCCAGCAACAACAAUCACAGCAAUUUCCCAAACAGGUAUGCUACUGCCUUUUUCCACCGGCGGUGUAAAGUCUGUUUAAUUAUGAUAUAAUAUAAAAGGUUGUCAUAUAGACCAUAUUAGAGGAUGAUGGAAUAAGAAGAACCAUGAAGAACUAUAACUGACCAGGAUCAACCGAUAUAGCCGAUAUAAGAGGACCAUGUACUGAAUCAAAUGGGAUACCGGUUGUCCCUUUCCCCGCCCAAUGAAGGCGAAUCUCCAACGUAUUACUAGUCACAUUAGCAGUGAACUUCUUUAUGAUUGCCUUACCAACUCCACCGGCUUCUUUUGCAAUAUUGAAAUCCUUCAGCACCAACCUUCCCUGCAAAAUGGUUUAUAACGGUCAAAGGAAACUUGUUCAAUACUAAACAUGUUGCUGAAAAACAUAAGAUGAUGAGAUCAUGCACCUGAAUAUAUAUGUCAAAUAUACGUCUUCCAAGGCUGUUAUAUGUUUGAUCAUCCGUAAACAUUAUCUCCGCAAAAUGGAGAUUUACAGUGUAGUUUCCAUUUCCCAGACAAAAGCCAUAAUAUGUUAGAGAAAGCGGCGAAACCCGUGCAUCCAUAUACAGUUCGGCAUUUUCCAUGGCAAGGUUAGUUUUGUUAGACCAGGUAUAGUAGUCCGCAAGGCUAUCGAAGAAGUGACCAGUGUUGCUAAGGGCCCAGUUUGAUCCAGUUCGCUGAAAGCUUGCUGGUCCAACUUGACUUGAAUCAUCAUCAUAUGUCAAACUUUCAUUCGAAGUUAUUUUCUUACCACCACAAUUUAUACGGAGAGAGUACGAAGCUGGAAUGGUCAAAAGAAAAAAAAUGCGAAGUACAAUAAGAUGAUCGUAUUAUAAAUAAAAAUUGUAAGAUUAGAACCUAGAACAACAACCUUGAUUCGAAAGAAAACAAAUAUGAAAAACACAAAAAGAGAAUACUAGGAUUUAUUGUAGAAAUAAGCUCAAAUAAGCAUUUGUAAGCUCAAAUAAGCCAAUUCAAACAGGCCCUAAGUAGAAAUUAUUAAGUUAAAAGCACCAGCAGGUAUCCUACAAUCUAAAGGAAAACCACGACAAAUCAACUUACUUUUAGGACAGCUGAAGUUCCCCAAACAUGAAACCCUUCCCCUAAGAAAUAAUGGUGUGUAACAUAUCAGCAUAAUCACAUUAUAAAAUAAUUUAUUAUGACUCAUGAGUAGUACAAAACUUACAAGUUAUUUCGCUUUGAAGAUGAUGCAAAUAAGUUCCUGCGGCACAUGGUAAACAGCAAAAGAUUAGAUAGUUUCUUAAAAUUGUUGAAACAAAAAAAGUAUGAAAAAACAAGGAUUCUUACACGGUUCCCUGUUGACAUGUCAACUGCUCUGGAUUUUCAAUGCUCAAAUUGUUAUACGAAAGAUCUCUGCAUGUGUCAAAUUAUGCAUGUGAUUCAGAAAUAAAGAUGUAACAAAGAACUAUAUGUAACACUUUUUGGUAUAGAAAUUUCGAAAACUAGUUGUACAAAAAUUUAGCAUGCAGAAGUAAUAAUUAACCUCAAUAAAUUAAAUAAGCAGCGUUUGAAGGAUUACUCACGUGUAGUCUGGUCUAGCAAUCCAAUUUGGAAGCGGUCCAGUAAAAAGGUUUCCAGUUAAGUAUCUAAGUAAAAAAAUAAGAUAAGAUUAAUGAAGACUAGAUUAAAGUUUAAGGAUAUCAAGAAACAACUUGCCCCAAUGUUCUACGCUUUCUCCUUAUUUCCAUUUAUAGAUUUACCUGUUUUUCUAAUCAUUCUCAAUUUAGAUUUUCAGCGAGAGGCCGCGACGUGAUUAUCUCAUGGUGAUAUAUAAAUUUAUUGGUCUGAAGUUUAAGAACAAAAAUAAAUAAAAUAUAUGCACAUAGACAUAGUUCUAGAUUGCAGUUCGCAACUGCAAUAGGGUUUUAGAGGUUUCUGCAACGGCAUCAAACUGCAAUUGUGGCCGUAUUUGCCUGCACUGUUGCAGUGUAAUUGCAUUUUAGAACCAUGCAUGCACAUGGACUUGAAAUGGAUAAAUAUUUAUGAGAGAAAUGAAUCAGAUUCACGAUUUUCCACUUGCGUCUCUAUCUAAAAUCCAAUCUAUUAAUAAUCUCGUUGCUUCGUUGCAAACAAUUCUAACCUUGUCUUCAUAAGUUUAAAUCACACUUUCUUUCAGGUAUCUUUAAGAAUUCAAUUUGGUGUAUACAAGUAACUCAGAGGAUAUUGCUUACAGCAUAUUUAUGUUCUUCAGGCCACCCAAGGUGAUCGGAAUCGGUCCAGUUAAUUUGUUAAAACUGAGAUCUCUGAAAAAGAAAUUAUGCUCAGAAUAAAUAUUAUUCGACAAGAAAAAUGUUUUAGUCCCGAUAACAUAACAAAAGAAGCAUCUUGUUUUUCACCAAAAUUUGAGUACUGAUUGCAUCUAUUGUAACUGGUUCUAACGCAUGUGAAUAAUGCAAGAAACUUCCUAGUAUUACUUACAAAGAUUUUAAAGUAGUAAUAUGUCCAAGAUAGUCGGGAACUUCUCCUAUAAGAUUGCAACUCCUCAGCACUCUGUCAAAAAAAUUGAUACUAUGUAAAUUUUUAAGUGCAAUGCACUUAUGCUAAUAAUCCAAGCAAUUCCCUUACAAUGUUUGAAUAUUUGUCAAGCCAAUAAGUUGCGGAAAAGGAGAAUCUGAUCCUUUCAAGUCGCUUAUUCUCCUGCAUAACAUUUAUUAAUCACUGUAAAACUCAAUAAGAGAAAAAUUGAAUUUUAAAUCCUUGACCAAAAUCUAUAAAGCACUAACACAAAUACCGAACACGAUACUGACGUUGACAUACAUGUAGUGUGUCGGACACUAGACUCACAUUCAAUUUAAAUGUCGGUGUUAAAGAUCACAAGAAAAUACAUCAUACUUACAAGCCAUUGAGGUUUUUCAGAUAUGAAAUUCCAGAAGGAAUUGGACCACUCAAACCACUCCCUUGCAUCACCCUGUCAAAAUUAAAAGUUAUUAUUUUGACAAACCAGCUUAACUAAGAAAAAAAAUUAUGAUUUAGAAUUUCGNGAUCGAUUUUGAGCAACCUGGGGGAAGUGGAUCAAGUACACCGCAACCAUACUCGACCGGGGUGUUACCAGCUUUUGCAAAUCAUGUGCGUGCUAGAUCCGAGUUGCGUCAUCCAGAUGUUCGUCACGAACUGCAAGUAGAUCUAGUGAAGCACAUAUGGACAAAGUUUGGAAUGUAUCAUGAUUGAAGAUGAUUUCUAUCGUACUAAAUAAAUUAUUUGUGUGUUGUAUUUCAUUUUAAGUUAUUUGUGUGCCGCGUGUUUAGUUUGUUGUAUUGCAUUUUAAGUUAAGAAAAUAAAAAUAAAUUAUUUUGCAAAAUUUUGUUUUUUUCAAAAAACCUAAAAAAUAAAUAGUUAAUUGUAUUAUUUUAAUUUAAUUAUAAUCGAUAAUUUUAUGUAACUAUAAAAACAAAAAUUAAAUAAGAAUAAGAAAUACAAAGUGGUGGGGUAGAGUGUUGAAUGAAAAACCAUUGGAGAGGGUAAAAGUUGAAUGAGUAUUGAAUAAGAGAGAGAAAAUGAUGUGGAGUGUUGGAAAUUGAAAAAAUAGGUGUUGAAAGGGAAAAUCAUUGGACAUGGUCUUACAAUCCAUCUAAAUAAAAGUUUUUAUUUUUUUAUUUUUUUUUACAAAAACAAAACGAUAUUCAUUCAUUCAAAUCGAUAGAGUACAUCAGAUACAAACAUCACUAAAAACGUAAAGGGUGAAUUUGCGAACAAACUCACAACACCCAAUUUAACAGCAAUAUAAUAAAUUUUCUUUCUUUCAUCUCUAGUUUUCUCUCUUAAUUUCUAGAGUGUGAUCCCUACUCGAAUUGGACCAUAUCAUAAUGCUACUACAAUUAUGAUUUUUGGUACACUUUAAUUUAUGUUUAUGAAAGAUUUCCAUAUUGUAGACAAGCUCAUAAGAAUUUUAUAGACAAACCCUAUAUUAUAAUUGUCGUUUGACAACAUAAUAUUAUAAAAAUAUAGUUUUUGUGGGGAUUAUGAAAAUAUUCUUAUUACCAUUAUUCACUCAUAUAAAAAUAAGCUCAUAAGAAUUUUAUAGACAAACCCUAUAUUAUAAUUGUCUUUUGACAAAAUAAUAUUAUAAAAAUAUUGUUUUUGUGGGGAUUAUAAAAAUAUUCUUAUUACCAUUAUUCACUAAUAUAAAAAUAUUGAGAAAAACGUCAUUCCAUAAUUCCUCUAAAAAAGAAAACACAUUCCUUAGUUAUAGUGUAUGUUCGCUCAUGAAUUGAAUUAUAAAAUAAAUCACACUUAAUUUGAACUUAAUUUGAACAAGAUAAACGAAAUGAUAAACAUUAUAUCCUUUUUCAAUAAAACUAAUUAAUAUUAUUUAUUUGGAAAAUUAAAGGUUUUUUUUUUUUUUUUGUAACAAAGUUUGUUUUUGUUACGUGCAAAUUUAAAUUUCCAUGAAAGACAGGAUAUGAAAGUUUUUGUUACCUAUAAGGUGUGUUUGAUAUGCUAAAAAAUGAAGGAUAAAACAUAACAACUUCAGUUGUAUAAUGUUUGAUUUGUAAAACUCUUUAGGGAUAGAACAAAUUGAAGGCAAAGAACAUAACAAAAAGCGUAUAAGGCUAGAUAUUAUUCAAUACUAUAAAAUUUUGUUACGUGUUGUUCUGUCUUAUUUUGUGCUAUAUAUUUUGUUUUGAGGAGUUCUGUCCAGUUGUUACUGUUUAACAUAUCAAACACACCCAUAAUAAUGGUUUCUUGUGUAGUUAAAAUUCUAUUAUUAAGAUCAAUAACAUUGUUAAAAAUCUCAAGUGCAAAAUAUAAUAACAAUUCUAAUGGAAAAAACAAAAGACUUCGUUAAUGUUACUUCAAAAAAAAAAAAAGACUUCAUUAAUGUUAAAAAAGGAAGAAAGAGCGAGUGAUAGAGAGAGGAUCCAUCAAUUUAUUUAUUUUUUGUUUUUGGUGAAAUGACCCAUCAAUUUUACCAGUGAGAUGAGUGUAUGUAAAAAAAUAAUGAAUUUAUUGGAGAGAGGGGGUAAUGUAUCACAAUUAUUUAUUAUUGAAGAAAAGAUUAGACAUCAAAGUUAUUUGAAAGAAAGAGUGAAUGCGAGAAAAAAAAAAAUUUAUUGCUGGAUUAGAAUGAGGGUAUAAUAAAAAAAACAAAAAAGUACACUUCAUUAAUUUGAGGGUGUUAUUCUAAAAUGACACGUAAAAAGAAAUAGAUGAAAUAUAAUUAUCCUAGUAAAUAGAUUUUCAAUGAGAAGCUCGUUUUAUUCAUUUUGAGAUGGAAAAGAUAACAAAAUAUUAAAAUAAAAAAUUGAGGUUGUACCAUGUUAAACUUGUAAAUAGAACUGAGAAAUAGUUAACUUGUGCAACAAGUUAACUUGAUAUGCAAGCUUCUGCAUAAGUUAGACAUUAGAAUAAUGACAGCUAUGAGUUAGUUAGGAUUAUACACAUAACACACAUUCUCUUUUCUUCCUAGCUUCUGCAAUUUCUAUGGUUUUCAUUAUGUUGAUGAUGAACUUCAUGACAGUAUCAGAGCUAAUGCCGCUGCGAACGGUGAUGGAAAUUUGAUUCCUCUAAUUCUUGAUCAUUAUGAACAACCUAGUACUGUUUAUCAUGUUCAUCUUUUUGAUAGUCCCUCUUAUGUUGCAGUCACUCCAAUUUUAACACAUCCGAAUUGUCAUGCUAGGGCUCGAUCCAUGAGACGAGCUUUUGGAGCAAAGAACAAAUUUGAUUUUGUUGAUGGUUCUAUACAUGUUUCUACGGGGUUUGAUCCAAGUUUCAAGUCUUGGAAUCGCUGCAAUAUGCUUGUUCAUUUGUGGAAAAUGAACUAUCUUGAUGAAUCAAUUGCGCACCACAUAGUUUUUCUGGAAAAUGCAAUUGACGUUUGGAAUGAGCUAAAGCAAAGAUUUUCGUAAGGUGAUUAUAUGAAACACGGCUGAAGUUUGCUAUAAGAAACAUGAUUUUCCUCCUCAUGCUAUCUACAUUAGGACUUGUUUGGGACUUUUGAAACUUAAAAGACCACUUUGGGAAAAACGAAAAACUUAAAAGGACCUUUAGAUGCAUUUGACCUUAAUAUUUCAAUAAGUUGAAUACAGAAUUUCCAAGAUAAAGUUUAUACUUCCAGUUUCUUUUUUUAUAUAUAUAGUUUAUUUUUUAAAAUCUAUAAGGAGAAUCCAUGCUGAUAGAACGCAUAUCUGUAUGAGACAUAAAUUCUGCAGUUUCACUUAUUAAGAUGCUCUCUUCUUGAGUCUCUGGUGUAUAAACUUUUUCACUUUGUUCACAAUACUGUUGAAUAAUUUCCAACUGUUGAUGAUACUGUUGAAUAAUUUCCAACUUAUUGCCUUCAAAAACUUGGCUUGUGUCUUGUUUAACUUCUUCAACAUCAGAUUGUCCUUCAAGCAUGCUUACAACUGAUGACAUGGUUGGUCUAUGCAUCGGAGAAACACGAGUGCAUAAAAGAGCUACAUUGAUCAUGAUCAUUGCUUCCUCUUUGUUGAAAUCUUCACCUAAUCUCUCAUCAAUUAGGUCCAUUAUGUUACCUUCUUCCUUUAAGAGAUGCACCUGAUAAAGAUGAAAUACAAACUUCAAGAUAUUGUGAUGAAGACUCAAAUUGGAUAGAAGGUAUGAAGUUAUGGAUGUGUUAGUUACCCGAUCAACAAGAGAGAAGCAUUCAUCCCUUGGCCUAUUCAUGGUGUUGUGCUUCCCACUAACAAUUUCCAAGGCAACUACUCCAAAACUAUAAACAUCCACUUUCUCCGUCAAAUAUCCGUGCAUUGCAUAUUCUGGAGCCAUAUAUCCACUGCAACAUAAAAAAUUAGGUUGGAAAAUGAUAAAUACCCUUAAAAAAUUCCAUAAAAAAAAGAACAAAUUAUAUAUAGAACUCACUAAGUGCCGGCUACUCUAGUAGUUAUAUGUGUGUGUCCGUCAUCUUUAAGCUUGGCCAAACCAAAAUCCGAUAUCUUUGGAUUGAGAUCUUUAUCGAGCAACACAUUAGUUGCUUUGAUGUCCCUGUGAACUAUCUUAAGCCUCGACUCUUCAUGUAGGUAAGCCAAACCUCUAGCAAUACCGACGCAAAUUUUCUUCCUUGUCGACCAAGUCAAUUUCAAUGGACAGUUUUCUUUGGCUUCAUUUUCAAAUGUCAUAGAAAAUUAGACGACAAAAUCAUAUGGUGUGUGUACACAGAGAGACACACACAACAUUGUAGAUUAUAUUAAUGAAAGAGCUACAAAACUUGACUACAUGGAUAAAAGGUUUACCAAACAAAGCACAAUCAAGGCUAUUAUUUUCCAUGUAUUCAUAUAUUAGCAAUAACUGAUCUCCCUCCAUACAGCAACCAUAGAGCUUAACUAGACAAGGGUGUUGCAAAGCAGAAAUCAAGCCGAUCUCAUUUAUAAAUUCGCGGUUCCCUUGCUUUGAUUUAGAAGAAAGCUGCUUAACUGCUACUAUUGUGCCGUCUGAAAGAACACCCUGCAAUUACAGGAGUUUAUAUUAUAUCUCUAUAUAUGAAAGAAGUUAUAAAGAAGUCAAAACAAUAAUAGAUCUUCAAAUUUCAAAUGAAAGUGUAGAUUUUCCACAAUACCUUGUAAACAGGACCAAACCCUCCUUCUCCAAUCUUAUAGGCAAUAUCAAAGUUGUUUGUUGCUGCUUUGAUUUUCCGUAACGUAAAUAGCCCAGGUUGGAAAUCUAAACCCUUU